GGGAGCGUCGUCCAGCAUGGCACAGGAAGCCCUGGAAAGGUAGGACGGCAGGCUCCAGAGGAAUGCUACAGGUUCGCUGAUCCCGUGAGGGGGAUGAUGUCAGUCUGGAGCACCGGGGGAACCUGUAGGCCGUGGGUUCAAGUCCCACCGCUCCCACCA
Molecule: transfer RNA, 159 nt
Filed under: Nitrososphaeria archaeon
Lineage: Archaea; Thermoproteati; Nitrososphaerota; Nitrososphaeria
Description: tRNA-OTHER
Source: RNAcentral